UGGGGAAUAUUGCGCAAUGGGGGGAACCCUGACGCAGCAACGCCGCGUGAAGGAAGAAGGCUUUCGGGUCGUAAACUUUUGUCUGGAGGGACGAAAAGAUGACGGUACCUCCGGAGGAAGCCACGGCUAACUACGUGCCAGCAGCCGCGGUAAUACGUAGGUGGCAAGCGUUGUCCGGAAUUACUGGGUGUAAAGGGCGCGUAGACGGGCAUGUAAGUCAGAUGUGAAAUACCGGGGCUCAACUCCGGGGCUGCAUUUGAAACUGCAAGUCUUGAGUGCAGGAGAGGGAAGCGGAAUUCCUAGUGUAGCGGUGAAAUGCGUAGAUAUUAGGAGGAACACCAGUGGCGAAGGCGGCUUUCUGGACUGUAACUGACGUUGAGGCGCGAAAGCGUGGGUAGCAAACAGG
RNAcentral lists this ribosomal RNA (406 nucleotides) under uncultured bacterium. RNAcentral describes it as "bacterial SSU rRNA". It matches the Rfam family "Bacterial small subunit ribosomal RNA", at positions 355 to 776 of the family's 1533-position model. The record is from RNAcentral.